UUCCCUUCCCCAGCAUCAAGGACCGAGGGUAACCCUACCCAAGGAGGAAGAGGAAAGUUGUGAUGACUACAUUCUCACCUCUCCUUGGGAUUGAUACAGGACAGCACCAGCCAUGGGUCAGAACUCUGCUUGGCAUAGAGGUUUUUUGGAGGGCAUUGCGAGGAGUUUGGGAAUCAAAGGGCUGUUUGAAUUCUGAGCAUCACUUCUGGUGGAAAGGCUUUGCAAUGGUUUGUAAAUAUCUGCUUCCGGCGUUUGGAUUCAGAAUCUUCACUGGAGGAGAAAUUUGGUCAGUCUUUUAAUUGUUUGCUCAGGAGAUUUGGCUGAGACACUGCCAUUCUCCUCAGGCUCUGGAGAAUCCAGGUGAUGGACACACGUGCAUUUUGAGGCCUCAUUAUAGAGACUGAGAAACUAUCCCUGCGAGGGCAGAAUGGAAUGUGACUGUAUGUAGUUGCCAAAGUACAAAAGCAUAAUUGUUUUAUCAAAAAUCUCUCAUUGAAAUACAUGUAAGAGCAGCAUA
This is a long non-coding RNA of Mauremys reevesii (Reeves's turtle), 517 nucleotides long. RefSeq lists it as uncharacterized. Lineage: Eukaryota; Metazoa; Chordata; Testudines; Geoemydidae. The record is from RefSeq and is a predicted model, not a curated record. The transcript has 3 exons.